CGCCUGUUUAACAAAAACAUGUCUUUUUGAUUUAAUUUAAAGUCAGGCCUGCCCAAUGAAUUAUUUAAUGGCUGCAGUAUUUUGACUGUACAAAGGUAGCAUAAUCAUUAGUUUUUUAAAUGAAAACUAGAAUGAAAGGUUAAACGAAAAAUUUUCUGUCUCAUGAUAAAAAAUGAACUUUAUUUUUUAGUAAAAAAGCUAAAAUAAAUUUAAAAGACGAGAAGACCCUAUAGAGUUUUAUAUAAUUUUAAUUAAAUAUUUAUUUUUAUUAAAAAUUAUAUUUUAUUGGGGUGAUAGGAAAAUUUAAUAAACUUUUCUUUAUAUUUACAUUUAUAUAUGAUUUUAUGAUCCAUAAUUAAUGAUUAAAAGAAUAAAUUACCUUAGGGAUAACAGCGUAAUUUAUUUUGAGAGUCCUAAUCGAAAAAUAAGUUUGCGACCUCGAUGUUGGAUUAA
Molecule: ribosomal RNA, 453 nt
Filed under: Lasioderma serricorne (cigarette beetle)
Lineage: Eukaryota; Metazoa; Arthropoda; Insecta; Coleoptera; Ptinidae
Description: partial 16S ribosomal RNA
Rfam family: Bacterial large subunit ribosomal RNA
Source: RNAcentral